CGGCGAGUGAAGCGGCAAAAGCUCAAAUUUGAAAUCUGGCACCUUCGGUGUCCGAGUUGUAAUUUGAAGAAGGUAACUUUGGAGUUGGCUCUUGUCUAUGUUCCUUGGAACAGGACGUCACAGAGGGUGAGAAUCCCGUGCGAUGAGAUGCCCAAUUCUAUGUAAAGUGCUUUCGAAGAGUCGAGUUGUUUGGGAAUGCAGCUCUAAGUGGGUGGUAAAUUCCAUCUAAAGCUAAAUAUUGGCGAGAGACCGAUAGCGAACAAGUACAGUGAUGGAAAGAUGAAAAGAACUUUGAAAAGAGAGUGAAAAAGUACGUGAAAUUGUUGAAAGGGAAGGGCUUGAGAUCAGACUUGGUAUUUUGCAAGCCUUACCUUCGUGGUGGGGUCCCCUGCAGUUUACUGGGCCAGCAUCGGUUUGGAUGGUAGGAUAAUGACUUGGGAAUGUGACUUUGCUUCGGUAAAGUGUUAUAGCCCUUGUUGAUACUGCCUGUCUAGACCGAGGACUGCGUCUUUGACUAGGAUGCUGGCAUAAUGAUCUUAAGUCGCCCGUCUUGA
RNAcentral lists this ribosomal RNA (554 nucleotides) under Schwanniomyces polymorphus var. polymorphus. Its description in RNAcentral is "partial large subunit ribosomal RNA". It matches the Rfam family "Eukaryotic large subunit ribosomal RNA", at positions 87 to 657 of the family's 3401-position model. The record is from RNAcentral. Lineage: Eukaryota; Fungi; Ascomycota; Pichiomycetes; Serinales; Debaryomycetaceae.